GACGAACGCUGGCGGCGUGCUUAACACAUGCAAGUCGAACGGAAAGGCCCUGCUUUUGUGGGGUGCUCGAGUGGCGAACGGGUGAGUAACACGAGAGUAACCUGCCCUUGACUUUGGUAUAACUUCAGGAAACUGGGGCUAAUACCGGAUAGGAGCUCCUGCUGCAUGGUGGGGGUUGGACAGUUUCGGCGGUUGGGUAUGGACUCGCGGCUUAUCAGCUUGUUGGUGGGGUAGUGGCUUACGAAGGCUUUGACGGGUAGCCGGCCUGAGAGGGUGAGCGGCCGCAUUGGGACUGAGAUACGGCGCAGACUCCUACGGGAGGCAGCAGUGGGGAAUAGUGCACUAUGGGCGGAAGCCUGAUGCAGCAACGCCGCGUGCGGGAUGACGGCCUUCGGGUUGUAAACCGCUUUCGCCUGUGACGAAGCGUGAGUGACGGUAAUGGGUAAAGAAGCACCGGCUAACUACGUG
Molecule: ribosomal RNA, 468 nt
Filed under: uncultured bacterium
Lineage: Bacteria
Description: partial 16S ribosomal RNA
Rfam family: Bacterial small subunit ribosomal RNA
Source: RNAcentral